This 74-nucleotide transfer RNA is filed under the name Phenylobacterium zucineum HLK1. Its description in RNAcentral is "tRNA-Cys (GCA) (tRNA-Cys-GCA-1-1)". It matches the Rfam family "tRNA". From Rfam's summary of the family: Transfer RNA (tRNA) molecules are approximately 80 nucleotides in length. Their secondary structure includes four short double-helical elements and three loops (D, anti-codon, and T loops). Further hydrogen bonds mediate the characteristic L-shaped molecular structure. tRNAs have two regions of fundamental functional importance: the anti-codon, which is responsible for specific mRNA codon recognition, and the 3' end, to which the tRNAs corresponding amino acid is attached (by aminoacyl-tRNA synthetases). tRNAs cope with the degeneracy of the genetic code in two manners: having more than one tRNA (with a specific anti-codon) for a particular amino acid; and 'wobble' base-pairing, i.e. permitting non-standard base-pairing at the 3rd anti-codon position. Lineage: Bacteria; Pseudomonadati; Pseudomonadota; Alphaproteobacteria; Caulobacterales; Caulobacteraceae. The record is from RNAcentral.
GGCCUGAUGGCGGAGUGGUGACGCAGCGGACUGCAAAUCCGCGUACCCGGGUUCGAUUCCCGGUCAGGCCUCCA